UACGUAGGCAGCGAGCGUUGUUCGGAGUUACUGGGCGUAAAGAGUGCGUAGGCGGUUUUCUAAGUUUGGUGUGAAAUCUCCCGGCUUAACUGGGAGGGUGCGCCGAAGACUGGAAGGCUUGAGUAUGGGAGAGGUAAGCGGAAUUCCUGGUGUAGCGGUGAAAUGCGUAGAUAUCAGGAGGAACACCUGCGGUGUAGACGGCUUACUGGACCAUAACUGGCGCUGAGGCACGAAAGCGUGGGUAGCAAACAGG
This 253-nucleotide ribosomal RNA is filed under the name uncultured bacterium. Its description in RNAcentral is "partial 16S ribosomal RNA". It matches the Rfam family "Bacterial small subunit ribosomal RNA", at positions 524 to 776 of the family's 1533-position model. The record is from RNAcentral.